GACGAACGCUGGCGGCGUGCCUAACACAUGCAAGUCUUGGGAGAAAGGGGUAGCAAUAUCCUGAGUAAACCGGCGCAAGGGUGAGUAACACGUAGGCAAUCUACCCUCAGGAUGGGGACAACUCCGAGAAAUCGGGGCUAAUACCCGAUAAAGCAGCGACACCGCAUGGUGAUGCUGUUAAAGCUCUGAUGCAAAUCAGGGUACCUGUGGAUGGGCCUGCGUCCCAUUAGGUAGUUGGUGAGGUAACGGCUCACCAAGCCAACGAUGGGUAGCUGGUCUGAGAGGACGAUCAGCCACACUGGAACUGAGACACGGUCCAGACUCCUACGGGUGGCAG
This 337-nucleotide ribosomal RNA is filed under the name uncultured Chlorobiota bacterium. Its description in RNAcentral is "bacterial SSU rRNA". It matches the Rfam family "Bacterial small subunit ribosomal RNA", at positions 28 to 351 of the family's 1533-position model. The record is from RNAcentral. Lineage: Bacteria; Pseudomonadati; Chlorobiota.